UACAGAGGGGGCAAGCGUUAUUCGGAAUUAUUGGGCGUAAAGGGCGCGUAGGCGGCCAAGCAAGUCAGGGGUGAAAUCCCUCGGCUCAACCGAGGAACUGCCUCUGAAACUGCAUGGCUUGAGACCGGGAGAGGGUGGUGGAAUUCCCAGUGUAGCGGUGAAAUGCGUAGAUAUUGGGAGGAACACCGGUGGCGAAGGCGGCCACCUGGACCGGUUCUGACGCUGAGGCGCGAAAGUGUGGGGAGCAAAC
This 250-nucleotide ribosomal RNA is filed under the name uncultured bacterium. Its description in RNAcentral is "partial 16S ribosomal RNA". It matches the Rfam family "Bacterial small subunit ribosomal RNA", at positions 524 to 773 of the family's 1533-position model. The record is from RNAcentral.